RNAcentral lists this ribosomal RNA (377 nucleotides) under uncultured bacterium. RNAcentral describes it as "bacterial SSU rRNA". It matches the Rfam family "Bacterial small subunit ribosomal RNA", at positions 28 to 404 of the family's 1533-position model. The record is from RNAcentral.
GACAAACGCUGGCGGCGUGCCUAACACAUGCAAGUCGAACGGUUUCCCUUCGGGGAGAUAGUGGCGGACGGGUGAGUAACACGUAGAUAACCUGCCCUACAGUGGGGAAUAACCACUCGAAAGAGUGGCUAAUACCGCAUAAGUUCUCUUUCGUUAGAAGGAGAGGAAACCUUUUCUGUGAAAAGAGAGGGGCUGAAGGAGGGGUCUGCGGCGGAUUAGCUAGUUGGUGGGGUAACGCCUACCAAGGCGACGACCGUAGCUGGUCUGAGAGGACGGCCAGCCACACUGGGACUGAGACACGGCCCAGACUCCUACGGGAGGCAGCAGUGAGGAAUAUUGGACAAUGGGCGAAAGCCUGAUCCAGCAACGCCGCGUGA